This 487-nucleotide long non-coding RNA is filed under the name Homo sapiens (human). RNAcentral's name for it is "non-protein coding lnc-NBPF1-1:15". Lineage: Eukaryota; Metazoa; Chordata; Mammalia; Primates; Hominidae. The record is from RNAcentral.
AGGGCCUCACGCACUGUAUGUGCUGCAGCUUGGAGAAGGAAGCCCUGGAGGGCAGCCUGUUUGAGGUGCAAUGGCAGCUGGCCCAGCUUGAGGCCCGCCGGGAGCAGCUGGAAGCCGAGGGGCAGGCCCUGCUGCUGGCCAAGGAGACCCUGACUGGGGAGUUGGCGGGCCUGCGGCAGCAAAUAAUAGCUACGCAGGAGAAAGCCAGUCUAGACAAGGAGCUGAUGGCCCAGAAGCUGGUGCAGGCUGAGCGGGAGGCCCAGGCCUCUCUGCGGGAGCAGUGGGCAGCCCAGGAGGAGGACUUACAGUGACUCCAGCGUGAAAAGGUUCAGGCAGCUGGGGAGGGGUGGGCAGAAGUCUGAGCCAGUGUUUCAUCAUCGUUCUUGCUCUGCCUCGGUCUGUACAUCUGUGAAAUGGGACUCCCUCUCUGUUGUGGAGGCCCUGGGGACAGCUGGGAGGACUGGAGGGGUGGUGGGGAGGUUGUGGU